This is a non-coding RNA of Delphinapterus leucas (beluga whale), 6027 nucleotides long. NCBI's taxonomy places the organism in Eukaryota, Metazoa, Chordata, Mammalia, Artiodactyla, Monodontidae. The record is from RefSeq and is a predicted model, not a curated record.
UAUCCCCUGGUAACCAUAAGUUUGUAUUCUACAUCUGUUACUCUACUUCUGUUUUGUAAAUAAGUUCUUUGGUACUCAUCUGUUGUUGUUUUUAAUACUUUCUGUAAGCAGUAUUUAAAUAGCCUAUAGCUAGUGGAAUUUCUUUCAGGAUUUCUGGAGUGUACUACUUUUACAAAUGUCCUUGAGUUAAAGUAUAUAGUGAAAAAAUGAAGCACAAUUUUGGGUAUAACUUUAUAUAAUAAAGUAUUUCAAUUCUCUUGACAGUCUCAAAUAUCAUUGUACAGUUUAUAAAUGAAAUCCUGAGUGCCUAGAACAGUUCUGGCACAUAGGUGCUCAAUAUUGAAUCACUCCUGCCCUUUGCUUCAAAGGAGCAACUUUCCUAAUUAGCCUAAAGGCUCUAUGAGUUGAGCAUAGUACUGCUCUAAACCAGCUUGCCCAUUAGAGGUCUCUGUCCAGAUGCCUUGUGGGCACUAGAAACUCAAAACCUUCAAAUCUGAACUCUUUAUCUUGCCCAGUACACUGUUUCUGUGUUCCUUGUCUGAAUAAUAAUUCACUCAGCCAGUUGGAAUCUUCUCUCUCCUCUCAGCCGCCCUCCUGAUCAUGCUAAAAAUGGUGGUCUUCUGUUGCUUAAAACUUUUUAGUAGAUAGACCCUUUAUCCCAAGUAAAGCAACCUUUGAGAGCUUUAAGCAGCAUGGUUUGUCAAAAUCCAAAUUGUAGAUGAGAAUUAUGGGAGCCAUAUAAGUUUACUUUUCCAUUGGUCCCAAGGUAGUAUUAGUGCCUCAGGCAUGGGCUGUGAGUCCUGAUAGUAGAAUCAUGUUGCCAGAUCUUGAGUAUACCGACCUAAUACAGAUGAAUAUAAUUGGUUUGGGGAGUGUUAAAAGUUUUAAUUCUCUUAUUAAGACCUUGUUUUAAGUACUCACCAAUGUUACACAGCAACUCCCUAACUCUGCCCCAUUUAAAUUGUUCAUGUUUUUCACCAAUAGUUACCGACAUCCUACUAUGUGCUUGCUCUUGAGCAUUGUGGAUGCAAUGGAGAAAAAACAGCCUGUUUCCAGAAUACCUUUGUCAGCCUGUGAGUGCCAGGCCAGCUCCUGACUGUUUUUCUCUUUUUCAAGAGGUAAGACUCAUGAAGUUGCAAAGGACAUAAAACCUCAACCAAAUUGACUUAAGCAAAAAGGACCACGUCUUAUUUCUAACAAAAAUCAUCAACCAAAGACGAGAAAACAUCAGUGAUUUUGAAAACAUCCUUGCUACUGCUGUGUUGAAGAAAAAAAAAUGUGUCUUAUUAAGACAUCUUCGGCCGGCAUUUUUCACGAACUGAUGGACAUCUAUUCAGCCUGGGCACUGUGCAGCUCAAAACACGUUUUUUCUCUCAGCAUUCUUAAGGGGCUCUGUGCACUCACUGGAUGCCAAAGAUAACAUCUAGAUCAGCAAUUUCUCAUAAAUCAUUGGAACACGGAACAUGACACAAAGAGAAGACAUCAGGAAUUCAAUAAUAAAUAUGGCAAGGUGCACAAACAAGAGAAUUGAAACCAGAUGAAAAGGAGCCUUUCAGAACAGAAGGUUUCUUCAUACAUACGUAGGCAUUGUCACAUGUGCUUAAGCAUGUGGGUAUUAACCAGAAGACCUGAGACCAGUGACCUGAGACCAGUUACCAGCCUUCCACUUGCCAACCAUGCCAUCUCAUCCAAGUUGCUUAACUGCUCUAUACCCAGUUUUCUCAUGGGCGAAUUUGAAAAAAAUCACAGUUCCUAAUUUUUUGGUAUUGUAAGGUUUAAAAGAGUUAACAUAGUUAAAAUGCUGCAAAGAGCAUCUGGAACAUGGAUAGAAGUUCUUUGCUUGGGAUUCACGAACCCCCUGAAGUUGAAUGCAAGAUGGUGUGUUUGCUUAUGUGCGUUUUUCUGGGCAGAGAGUCCAUGGCCUUCAAUGGAUGAUCAAAGGAAUUGCGACUCAGAAAAGAUUAAUACCGCCAUGGAGACUUCCUUGGUCAAAAGCCACAUGUUAAUUUCUUGAGGAAGAAAGCAAAUUCCUAGCACGGGAGAAGGAGCUGGGCACAUGGGCUGGCAAGUGGCCCGUUGAAAGAUGAGUGAGGACUGAAGUCUACCAAUGAACUCUGUCGGGGAACCCCUGCUUUAACUUUUCUCAGCUUUAGUUCCUUCGUCUGUAACAUGUAGUUAAUGAAGAUACUCACCUAGAGGAGUUUCGUCCAGUUUAAUGAGAUAUUUGCAAGGCCCUUAGCAUAGUAUCUGGUGCAUGGUAGAUGAUGCUAAAUAAACGGCAGCCAGUGGCAGUGGACGUCACGGUUGCCAUCUGGUGGGCUGUGUGGUGAUCGCUGUGGAAGCUUUGGGAGCAAAGAUCUUGGGCAUGUCUUUGGCUCCAACUCGAGGAUCAGAGGUCUCCCUCUGUGAGGUAGGGUUAUUAACCUCAUUUUACAAAUCAUGAAACUGGGGGCUCAUUUUCAGUUCUUAGGGUGAGUUGUUAUUUUAUGCCGCAUUCAUUUAUUAGAGCCCUGUUUUCUGCCGGUUAAAUUGUAUCAUAUCAUUAUGUAAAACAUAAAUAUUUCCUCCAUUGUGCCUUGUUGGAAGCAUUGUGAUUUCCAAGCACUCAAUCUCUCAAACAAGUCUGAGACGCACUGGCCAGGGUGGUGUUUUGGAAAAUAGCUCAGCCGAGGCUGAGAACCUUAAUUGUUGGUUCUAAACUCUAUGUUCUACCCACCAAACCACUGCCCUGGCUGGGGGUGACGCUUGUCCCUCCCACUCCCAUAUCUUGUGCUCUGGAAUCAGUUUUGCAUUUAAGCAAAAACGUAACUAAGAAAAUGGAAAUAUAAUACACACUGACACACACAAAGCAACAGCAUACACAUACUACUUAAACUGUCUUUUUUUCUGAUAAAAAGGUAAAAACAGACAGACUCUGAGUAAGACAAUAUUUUAACUCACACUGUUGAGGUUAAGGUUGAUGAUAGCACAGCAGAAAUGCUUACAGUUACUCCCAGCUAAUGAAUCAAUUGUGUUUUCACAGUUCCUUCUCUUAGCCAAGGACCUCACAAAUGGAGCAGUUAGGGUCACGCUACUCAAAAUGUGGGCUCUGCACAGUCGGAUCAGCAUCCCCAGGGAGGUUGUUAAAAAUGCAGAAUCUCAGGCCCACCCCCACUGCUGAAUCAAAAUGUAUGUUUUAAUAAGAUCCUCAGGUGAUUCAUAUGCACAUUACCAUUUGAGAAGCAUUUGUUCAGGUAGCCAAAAAGUUUCUUCUGGGGAGUGUGAGGGCAGUUCCAGGGCAGGGAGAUGGCUUUCUAUUUCCUGCCUUUCUUCCUUCCAGCAGGUGUGCAAGUCAGUACUGGGUAUAUCUCUCUGCUCUCUGGAGCUGCAACCUUUUCCUCCCUCUGUGGCUUCGGGCUCAUUGCUGCAUCCGAGGAUGUGCCCCACUGUGACCAGGGGUAAUUGCUACCUUCUCCUGAAAAGCCCAGAACCUAGAGAAUCAGCAACCAGGCAGCAAAAACCCUCUGUUUCACCAAAAUCUUUCUGGUUGGGCACUAAUGGGCAAAGUGUUAAGGCUGUGCUCUGGUGACAGAGCUCCUAGAGCGAAGCUUUAAAUGCCUUGAUGAAAGCAAUUGCUACUGAGGACUCUAACCCGUAGUAAUUAGGAGCUUGCUGGAGAAGAGGAGGGGUUAGGAAGUGAUGAGUGGAGAGAGACCUAUUUAAAGUUGAAACAUUGUUUCAACUUCUGAUUUUAAUCCCUUGCUGGCUUCCCGUUCUCGUUAUAGGUGAGCCAUUUACCUAAUAGAACUGUAUUUGGUCAAAGUGCUUUAUCCCAGUUCCAAGGGUGCUGAUUUUCAGGAAGUGUACCUGCACUGGGGAAGCAAAUUUGAUUCCAUUAUUGGCCAAGAACAAGCUGAUCGUGUAGAUUCUGGGGCUGUCAUUAUUAUUAUUACUGAAAUAGUCCCCAAACUUGGGGGUUCAACACCCUAAGGGACAGAGAAGAUGUUGGCAGCUCCCCAAAGAGAGAGGAAGAAAGAAAGAAGGCAUGUUGAACCCCCGUGGGUGGGAGCCAUGGAAUUUAAUCAUGGUGAGGUCAGCCUUUGACAUGAGGAGUCCUGUGACUCUGCAGCAGAAAGUCCAGUAUGGUCUCCUCGCAGGCUUGGGGAGGUUUAGUGAUUUGGUGGAGGUCAUGGAACUGAAAGGAGGCAACGCUGGAAUUGGAAUCAAGUUUAAUGAGUUCCUUGGCCUGGGAAAGUCCAGAUCAGGAAAAAAAAAAUUGCUUCUCAAACUGUACCUGCCUCACAAUCACCUGAAGGGUUCGUUGAAACACAGAGGGUGCUGGGUUCCACCCCAGAAUGCCUGGUUCAGUAGGUUUGGAGUCGAGUCUGAGGGACUCUGCAUUUCUAACCAGUUCCCAGGCAGUGCUGACGCUGCUGGUCCAGGGACCACACUUUGAGAACCAUUGCUCUACUGGCUCCCCCCACUGCUAGAUAGACAGUCCUGAUGUUGCUUUCUUAACAGGCCAUUACCUUGUUCUUAACUUACCAAGGUGGGUUUGUCUCCUGAACUAGAGCAGAGAAAAAUAUUAAUGCAUAAUAGGGACAGGAAAGAUCAAUAUAUACAUUUUGAGAUUUCUCCUCCCUUCCUAUCUUCUGAGUGGAGGAAGAUUCUUGCUUGAUGGUCAGAACUCCCAGGGUUUUUCUCUAUAGCCCUGAAUACUAGAACUAGGUAAACAGACAAACUCAAGGAAGCCUGAGAGGCUAAACUGACGUACACAAUAAAGUGUUAAAAGAAAAAGAGAUAUAUUAAAAAUCCACUUUGGCUGGACAUUGGGAAGAGAAAUAGAGGAGAAUUGGGAGUAAGGAAUUUUGGAGAGUGAGAGGCUCUGGAAUAACCACAGGAGGUGAAAGAGGAGAGGAGAGGAGAAAGGUUCAGUGGGCUUUGGACCAAAUGCCUCUCAUAUCCUUCAACAGAUGCAAUUAGAGAUUGAGGUGUCUCUUUGCUCCUGAACUGUUUCUUUGAGUGUCAUAUCAUGUGAGUCUGGGCCCCAUGGGUCCUGGGAUUGACUAGGGACACAGAAUUGGUCUUGCAGUAGUGAUGAUGACUUUAUUCUGACACACCUUAUCGUCCAGUUCUUGUUAUAGCAGGUGGCAAGACAACAAGCUGGGAAAGCAUGUCAGGAUACCAAGGAAAUUCAGGAACACUGGUGUUGCAUAUCUAAUUCUGAAUUGUUUCUUAAUCUGCACUGUGAUUCGUCUUUGUUACCUCCAAGCAUUCGGUGAAGUCUAUUACAUAAAACAGCAUUGCCUCGGAGAAUGAGGAAAAGCGUAGUGAGUCCACGUUGGGGAUAAAGUGAUAAUGAAAAGGACAGCAGCUGAGAAGACUGGUGAUGAGGAAGGCCGGGGAGACCGAAAUGAGACCAGGAGGAGAGGUUUGGAGUGAGAGGUGACAGCCACGCAUCAGGAUAAUGAGUUCUCCCAGAAAAUUUGUGGAGCGCAUGGAAUUUCUUAAAAUUAUAUUUUGUUCGGCCAUUAAAAGGGCAAAGAUGAUCCCAAAGGCUGGAGAAUAGCGGUGCCUCUUAACAUUGGAGAAGAGAGUUGGAUCCUUUAUGCAAUUUUUACAAACUCUUAUAACUAAUUUAAAUGUAAACAUGAUCUGCCUUGACACAAGAGGGCCAUUAUGCUAAGAGACAAGUCACUGGGAGCGCUCAGACUUAUAGGAACCAGAAUGCGAUGAAGAGAGAGGAAAACCUCAUAGGAAAGCUGCAUUUUGAUAUGUUCCCAGGUGGAUUCGCCCCGAUCAAAGAGUUUUAGACAAGGAGUUAAACAUCUGGAUUACAAGAAAUCUUUAAAGAACGGUGGUAUUCACAAAGGACUUCAAAGCCUGAUUUAAUUUAACCAGUUUUUAGACUAAAAAAGUCAUCUGCCUGGCUCUGAAAUACUUGGAGAGCAAUUUUACAUUCCAGUGCACAGCAACCUGACACAAGACCAAAUUCCUAUAUUUUUCGAGGCUUCAGUUUUGCUGCUCUUAUUAAGAACUGAAAGAAGG